Molecule: ribosomal RNA, 514 nt
Filed under: Clostridioides difficile
Lineage: Bacteria; Bacillati; Bacillota; Clostridia; Peptostreptococcales; Peptostreptococcaceae
Description: bacterial LSU rRNA
Rfam family: Bacterial large subunit ribosomal RNA
Source: RNAcentral
UGGUCAAGUUAUUAAGGGUGCAGGGCGGAUGCCUUGGCACUAGGAGCCGAUGAAGGACGUGAUAAGCUGCGAUAAGCUUCGGGGAGUUGCACGUAAACUUUGAUCCGAAGAUUUCCGAAUGAGGAAACUCACUUAGAGUAAUGUCUAAGUAUCAUUAAGUGAAUACAUAGCUUAAUGAGGGGAACUCAGGGAACUGAAACAUCUAAGUACCUGAAGGAAGAGAAAGAAAUUCGAUUCCGUAAGUAGCGGCGAGCGAACGCGGAUUAGCCCAAACCAAUAAAGUUUUCUUUAUUGGGGUUGCGGACAUAUCAUAACGAAGAGGUAUCGUAAUUGAAGAGGUUUGGAAAGACCCACCACAGAAGGUAAUAGUCCUGUAUGUUAAACGAGAAGACUUUAGAUAUGAUCCAGAGUACCACGGGACACGUGAAACCCUGUGGGAAGCAGGAGGGACCACCCUCCAAGGCUAAAUACUACCUAGUGACCGAUAGCGUAUAGUACCGUGAGGGAAAGGUGA